GCGCUCUUAGUUCAACUCGGUAGAACGUAGGUCUCCAAAACCUAAUGUCGUAGGUUCAAAUCCUACAGGGCGUG
This 74-nucleotide transfer RNA is filed under the name Reboulia hemisphaerica. RNAcentral's name for it is "tRNA-Trp". It matches the Rfam family "tRNA". Rfam says of the family: Transfer RNA (tRNA) molecules are approximately 80 nucleotides in length. Their secondary structure includes four short double-helical elements and three loops (D, anti-codon, and T loops). The record is from RNAcentral. Lineage: Eukaryota; Viridiplantae; Streptophyta; Marchantiopsida; Marchantiales; Aytoniaceae.